UGGAAUAAGGCAACAAAACAAACAAGCAAAAAUAAAAGCAAGAUGAUACCGGAUGCCAUCAAUGGACUUAUACCAAUCUCACAAACAAAAGCGGAUAUCGGAUACCAAUAAAUGGAUUUACACCAAUCUCCUAAAACACAACAAUGAUACCGGAAGCCAAUAAAUGGUCUUACUCCAAUCUCACAAAACAAAACAAAUCAUGGAUGUCAGAUGCCAAUCUAUCUGGGCUUAUACCAACCUCCAAAGGAUGAUCAUAGGAGUACAAAUGCCAACGACAUGGUCUUAC
RNAcentral lists this long non-coding RNA (286 nucleotides) under Lathyrus oleraceus (garden pea). Its description in RNAcentral is "Pisum sativum (pea) long non-coding RNA (PSAT_LNC014476)". The record is from RNAcentral. Lineage: Eukaryota; Viridiplantae; Streptophyta; Magnoliopsida; Fabales; Fabaceae.